AUGGAAGUGGCGCCGCUCCCUCCUGGAUACCGGUUCCAACCGACCGAUGUUGAACUCAUCCUCUACUAUCUAAAGAGGAAGAUACUGGGUAAAAAGUUGCGCCGCAAUGCUGUUACAGAAAUCGAUAUCUACAAAUUCGCCCCCUGGGAUCUUCCAGGGAAAUCUUCAAUGCCAACUGGGGAUCUUCAGUGGUAUUUCUUUUGUACUUGCGGUCGGGAGUACCCUACCGGGUCAAGAACUAACCGGUCAAACCAAGCUGGGCACUGGAAAGCUACUGGAAAGGACAGGAAGGUGGUCUAUAAUUCUCGGACUGUUGGGAUGAAGAGGACGCUGGUGUUUCAUGCUGGCAAGGGACGCAAGGAGAAAAGAACUGACUGGGUCAUGCAUGAAUAUAGGCUGGUCGAAAGCGAAAUUCCUAAUGCCGGUGUUAGACUGGAUGAUUUCGUUCUCUGCAAAGUCUAUCAGAAAAGUGGUCCAGGUCCCAAGAUUGGGGAACAGUAUGGCGCUCCAUUCGAGGAAGAGGAAGAGGAAAUGAAUGAUGAUCCAAAUGGGGAAGCUUACUGUUUAUCCCAUUCUUCCGCACCUGGACCAAGCCAUGGUGGUGUGUUGAACUCUGCGGGUCAAUCGGUUUGUGAUGGCGGCAGGACUUCCUUGAGCAUUUUGUCAGCAAAUAACGGCAAGAGCUCCUCCAGUGGUGUCCAUCCUGACCGGGCUUCUCGUCCGGAUGUUAACUGGGACAGGAUACAUAUACAGCAGUUAGCUGAUAUACUGGGUUGUCUCUCGACGAAUCAUGUAGGCCAAGAUGGUCCAUCGUCUGAUUCGACCACUUACCAUGACACAGAAGCAUUGUUUGACGAUAGUGAAGCUAUAUUUGACAUAACGGACCAAGUUGUGCCUUCUUCACUGGUUAGCCUCUGCAAGCAGUGUGACUCGUGCGGCGUUCGGCUGAUCGACCCUUUGCUGGAACCGGUGGCAGGCGAAGUGUACCUGGAGCUGAAUGACCUGCUGUUGUGCCAUGCCGGCCAUGUUCCAGACGGCAGUAGCCAGGCGCUGGUGCUGUCCAGCGGUGCAUGCCAUGAGGGCCCUCCAAUGGAUUAA
RNAcentral lists this ribosomal RNA (1098 nucleotides) under Triticum aestivum (bread wheat). RNAcentral's name for it is "partial small subunit ribosomal RNA". The record is from RNAcentral. Lineage: Eukaryota; Viridiplantae; Streptophyta; Magnoliopsida; Poales; Poaceae.